CCAGACUCCUACGGGAGGCAGCAGUGGGGAAUAUUGCACAAUGGGGGGAACCCUGAUGCAGCGACGCCGCGUGGGUGAAGGAGUAUUUCGGUAUGUAAAGCCCUAUCAGCAGGGAAGAACAAUGACGGUACCUGACUAAGAAGCACCGGCUAAAUACGUGCCAGCAGCCGCGGUAAUACGUAUGGUGCAAGCGUUAUCCGGAUUUACUGGGUGUAAAGGGAGCGCAGGCGGCGCGUUAAGCCUGGUGUGAAAGCCCGCGGCCCAACCGCGGGACUGCAUUGGGAACUGGCGCGCUGGAGUACCGGAGGGGUAGGCGGAAUUCCUGGUGUAGCGGUGAAAUGCGUAGAUAUCAGGAGGAACACCGGUGGCGAAGGCGGCCUGCUGGACUGCAACUGACGUUGAGGCCCGAAAGCGUGGGGAGCAAACAGGAUUAGAUACCCCCGUAAAG
RNAcentral lists this ribosomal RNA (448 nucleotides) under uncultured bacterium. Its description in RNAcentral is "partial 16S ribosomal RNA". It matches the Rfam family "Bacterial small subunit ribosomal RNA", at positions 331 to 793 of the family's 1533-position model. The record is from RNAcentral.